CUUUCGAUCGAAAAGUCGCCUAAAACGUGUUUUUUUUUUGUGUUAAACAAUAAACAUUUUUACUCAUAAAUAACUCGAAAAGUCUUGAGUUGACCACUUCGGUGGUGACAUUGAAAAUUACACGGUAUCGCCAUAUUUUACGUUGAUUUACUAGGCUGUAACACAUAUAGGCAUUUGUUACACAUGUCGCAUUGUGUAAUUUUUUAAAGGGGGCCCCAUUUCCAAUUCUGCGGGGGGGCCCCGACGGAGUUUGUUACGCCACUGAACAGGAUUGAAUACUUCGGACAGAUUAUGCGAAAUGAAUCCAGAUAUGCCCUCCUACAAGCCGUCCUGCAAGGAAAAAUAUUCGGUAAGCGGGGUCCAGGAAGAAGAAGAAUAUCCUGGUUGAAGAAUUUCAGAACCUGGUUCAACACAACAUCUGUGUAGCUUUUACGCGCUGCUGCAGAUAAUAUUCCCUAACAACACACAACAUUCCAGGAAUGUACUACCAAAGUUCUAUAAAUAUUUGAAUGUCCUGGACAUUUAGGGAACAUUCGGUGAACAUCUGACUAAAUUAUUCCUGGAAUUUUACCAUAAGACAUUCUGUGAACAUACUACCAAUGUUCCUAUAUGUUCAUUUACAAAUUCACGGCGCAUGUAUUUGUGCAUGGUGCUUAGAGAGGGCAUCACGUGACUAAAAACGACCAAUGACCUCACUUCAGACUUCGGUGCUUCGGCCAUCUUGGCAUGCAUCUUGGCCUUGGCCACCUUGCCGUGCCGCCGUGCGUGAUCGUUGUUUGUUUUUAUUUGUGCUUUUUAAGAAUAUUUUUUUAAUUCGGAUACUUUUAUAAUAACUUUAAUAGUAUUAUUAAUAUAGUGCAUAAAAUCAGUUGGAGUAGCAGAAGCAAUGUAGAUAAAAAAUCUGCAGGAAUAAUGUUUCAAAGGUUAGUAUAUGCAAAUAUGUAAACAAAGGCAUGCCCCUACUUCAGAAAAUAUCCAUUUAUUAUUUUAAUAAUUGCGAAUAAGCCACAAACUUGCUUAUUCCUACCUAAAAUAGUAAAUAGAGAUAAUAACAAACGGAUUAUUUGUAAAAUUAAAUUUUUUUUUGCGUUUUUGCUAAUGUAUGCCUUUAUAAACAGGAUGGUAGAUCACACACUAUAAUAGUACCAACUAAUGAAUACACGGUAUGAAUAGUAUAGUCGGUUCGCUAAACUUAGUCUCAGACACAACUGGCUAGUGAUUUUAGUAAAUAAUUUUGACAAUUUCGUAAAAUUUGCAAAAAAAUAAUAACUAAAUAGUUAGUAAUUUUGGCAAAAAUGGCCAAAAACAAAAAAAUUACCUACUAAAAUCACUAGCCAGUUGUGGCUAGGGAAACGACUAUAUUAAUAAACAAUUUCUAAGCUGCUUUUUAUAAUAUUUUGUGAGUUCAUUAAUCAUAUUUUUUAUUUAAAACUAAAAUUUGUUAAUAAUGCUCAGUAAUGCAUAUAUUUUGUAUUUUUAGCUUUCCAGAAGAUCCUGCGAAGAAGGCAUGAAGUAUUGAUCAGAUUUGUUAAUAGAGCAGUAUGUUCAAAACAUUUUUUAGAAAAAGAUAUUGACAGAACUUCACUUUCAACUGUUCGUUUGAGAGACUGUGCUGUUCCAAUAGCUUAUAUCACACAGAAUCAGCUGAGAGAAGUGGUCUACAAAAAGCCAGGAAGGAAAUGGAAUAUGUGGCUAUGAAAGGCAAAAGAAAGGUUUACAAAGCAAAUGUGACACAUUUUUUUAUAGGAAUAUCAGUAAAUUACAUUAAAAAAAUGUAUGAAAAGAUUUUUUGCAAUAAAAAUGUUUAUAUUUA
Diabrotica virgifera virgifera (western corn rootworm) is the source of this 1813-nucleotide long non-coding RNA. RefSeq lists it as uncharacterized. Lineage: Eukaryota; Metazoa; Arthropoda; Insecta; Coleoptera; Chrysomelidae. The transcript is spliced from 2 exons. The record is from RefSeq and is a predicted model, not a curated record.